CGCCCUCCUGCACGUCCCACACCUCAUGGCCCUCCGCUGAGGAAUGAAGAGCGCACAGUGAAGGUCAUCACCAAUACAACUGUCUGUCCGGAUCCGGAUAUUGUACAAGUUCCUCGGUUUUCGUGCGUCAGAUGGACUUCACCCGGACAUAUACACUCACCACCACCAACGUGCACAGGCGGCAGUUGAACCUUCUUUGUGCUUCGCUGAUAAGGUGACGCCAUCCUUCUUCCCUCACAUCAACCUGCCGCCAACUCACGUGUCGUCGGAGUCAGUCCCGGCUUUUCCAGCUCAGUGAAAUAUUGUGGUGCAAGUUUGGAGCACAAUGAAAAAAAAAAAAAAAGCUGACAGCUUAAGGGGUGAUGGAGUUGUUAAAAUGUUUUAAUAUUUGAAGUUUUAUUUUUUGACCAAUAAAGUUUCUUAAUUUGCUCAAAUUAAGUAAAGUUUCACAACGCAAUCAGUAGUCAAAGGAUUAAUGGUGCUUCAUGCUCAUUCAUACUAUCUGUGCCUGUACUGAUUAUAUUUCCUGCAGUUGUGGUAUCUGUGACAUUGUAUGCCCCCCAAUGCAAUACAUCUUGCUAUUACGGUGUCAUCAACAUUAUAUAACCUCUCUCUCUCUCUCUCUCUCUCUCUCUCUCUCUCUCUCUCUCUCUCUCUCUCUCUCUCUCUCUCUCUCUCUCUCUCUCUCUCUCUCUCUCUCUCUCUCUCUGGUGUGUGUGUAUGUGUGUAUGUGUGUGUGUGUGUGUAUGUGUGUGUAUGUGUGUGUGUGUGUAUGUGUGUGUGUGUGUGUGUGUGUGUAUGUAUGUGUGUGUGUGUGUGUGUGUGUGUGUGUGUGUGUGUGUGUGUGUGUGUGUGUGUGUGUUUGCUCUGAAAAUAUUUUUACAAGUGUUUAACUCUUAUUAUUGCACUUCUUUUACUGAGCACUUAGUCUGUUCUGUAUUGAUAUUAAAUUUCUUGUUGGACUUACUCUAUUAUCAUCGCAGUUUUUUAUAAGUACGACUGACUCUUUAUUCUCUUAUACAUCUAGGGAUUUAUAAAGACGUGUGUGUGUGUGUGUGUGUGUGUGUGUGUGUGUGUGUGUGUGUGUGUGUGUGUGUGUGUGUGUGUGUGUGUGUGUGAAAUUAUUCCAGGUACAAUAU
Scylla paramamosain (green mud crab) is the source of this 1139-nucleotide long non-coding RNA. RefSeq lists it as uncharacterized. NCBI's taxonomy places the organism in Eukaryota, Metazoa, Arthropoda, Malacostraca, Decapoda, Portunidae. The record is from RefSeq and is a predicted model, not a curated record. The transcript is spliced from 2 exons.